CAAAAAGGGGGAAAUUAAACAAAAUGCUCAAUGUAUCUCUUUGCAGAUUCUUCAGGGAGUAGAGAACAUUCACAUGGAUGACAUCCCAGUUUUCUCAUCAUGUUGAGUCCAGCUUUUCAUUCACUGACAACUAACUCAGAAAUCUAAAAUUUGAUAUUUUGAGGAAAACGCAUUUACC
Molecule: non-coding RNA, 178 nt
Organism: Delphinapterus leucas (beluga whale)
Lineage: Eukaryota; Metazoa; Chordata; Mammalia; Artiodactyla; Monodontidae
Source: RefSeq, a predicted model, not a curated record